UGGGGAAUUUUGGACAAUGGGGGAAACCCUGAUCCAGCCAUGCCGCGUGAGUGAAGAAGGCCUUCGGGUUGUAAAGCUCUUUUGUCUGGGAGCAAAAGGCUGUUGCUAAUAUCGACAGCUGAUGAGAGUACCAGAAGAAUAAGCACCGGCUAACUACGUGCCAGCAGCCGCGGUAAUACGUAGGGUGCAAGCGUUAAUCGGAAUUACUGGGCGUAAAGCGUGCGCAGGUGGCAGAUUAAGCCAGAUGUGAAAUCCCCGAGCUUAACUUGGGAACUGCGUUUGGAACUGGUCAGCUAGAGUACGUCAGAGGGGGGUGGAAUUCCACGUGUAGCAGUGAAAUGCGUAGAGAUGUGGAGGAACACCAAUGGCGAAGGCAGCCCCCUGGGAUGCUACUGACACU
Molecule: ribosomal RNA, 400 nt
Filed under: uncultured bacterium
Lineage: Bacteria
Description: bacterial SSU rRNA
Rfam family: Bacterial small subunit ribosomal RNA
Source: RNAcentral